Molecule: non-coding RNA, 75 nt
Organism: Podarcis lilfordi (Lilford's wall lizard)
Lineage: Eukaryota; Metazoa; Chordata; Lepidosauria; Squamata; Lacertidae
Source: the annotation of a GenBank genome assembly
AUCUCAGGUAGCGCAAUGGGUCAGUGUGCCUGGCUGUUAAGCAGAAGGUUGGUGGUUCAAGCCCACUGAGGGAUG